Nematostella vectensis (starlet sea anemone) is the source of this 2140-nucleotide long non-coding RNA. RefSeq lists it as uncharacterized. The transcript is spliced from 2 exons. Lineage: Eukaryota; Metazoa; Cnidaria; Anthozoa; Actiniaria; Edwardsiidae. The record is from RefSeq and is a predicted model, not a curated record.
GCCGUUUUGAGUAAGCCUUGACAUAUGAGAUAAUCUUGAAAUAACCACAUAAAACAAUUUUUUAAACUUCAUUUACGAAAUUAAUUUGAAAAUAUCACAGUGAAUCAUCCAGAUAACCGAUGGAAAUGGAUGCUUAUUUAUACUUGGUGAUUUGAUGAAAGACGAAAGAUGAAAAACAACGACUGACCUAGAUCUUUAAAAAGGGGAACUGCAAGCUAAAUACAACCAGGACUCAUAUUUAGAUGUAAAAACAAAAAAAUACGCUUGCUGUAGGUGUUUUCGCGCGGUUAUUAUUCGUUUUUGAGAAAUUCGACGUUUCGCCGCCAUCUUGAAUGUUUUGCUUGUCAGCGCAUAAACUGUCAGCGGUCGCUUUUGUGACGUACUGUAUAAACAAGAUGGCGUGGUCUAUGUGGCAGCCAUUUGUUUUCGUCUCAUUCCACGUUGAAUCAUUCAAGCUCAAAACUAUGCAAGAGCAAGCAUAUCACAACCAAACCACAAUGGAUCUGAGGAAUCGUUGUACAUGUGCGUAAAAACUUUGUCGUGCUGCUAAUGAAGUUAUUAGCCUUAAAAUGGGUAAAAUAAGCUUUUACUUGAGAAUGAAUCAGAAGAUUCAGAUGACUGAGUUAUUGGGGUUUGUGGCACAAGGUUGCUUCCAGUCUCUUGGUCAUCAGCGUUAUCCUCAUCUUCGCUGUCCAAGAAUUCCCGGUCGCUGAGGAAGUCAUUUUGCGCGAGUUUGGCAAAGUGUGCGGGACCAAACUCUUGCAGCAGAACCAGUAAACAGAGAAACAACGCUCUUCGGGACGACGCUCGUGCCAUUCUUGGGCAAUCAUAUAUCAAUAAAUUACUGAAAUUUCUUAGUUAUUUCAUUCCCUUUUAUUGUCACAUGAUUUAGAUAUAGGAGAGGGAGGGCUGGUUCAAUAACAUUUCUGUUCUUGUGAUUUCCUUGUUGUUGGCUUUUGAGUGAGCCUUGCAUGGUGACAAUCCAUGCAGCCACACCUUAUCAAUGAAAGUUUCUUGUGUGUUUUGUUUUGGUUCUGGGAGGAUUUUAGUAAAAAAAUAUCUAGGGAUUAAACAGAUUUUGAAAUAAGCGCCUCCCCCUUAUAAGCCUGGCAGGGACAUGAAAAAAUAAAUUACUUAAAACUUGAUAUCUCAGCAGUUUUCCUAGUAAUUUCCUACUACCCCGUCAUGUUUUAAUAGUCCGUCCCUCAAUCAAAUUGAAUCUUUUUCUGUCAGUUAACUUUCUUGUGUUUUUCUUAUAUACUACAUGCCUUUUCUAUUGUCCUUCAUUAUUUUCAAUUGACCCGCUAUAAUUAUUUGACUCUCCCGUAAAAUGCAAUUAAUUUCGAUUUCCCUUGGAAGUUAAAAUAACGUUUUACUUUCUUGUGUUUUGUUUUGGUUCUGGGAGGAUUUUAGUAAAAAAAUAUCUAGAGAUUAAACAGAUUUUGAAAUAAGCGCCUCCCCCUUAUAAGCCUGGCAGGGACAUUAAAAAAUAAAUUACUUAAAACUUGAUAUCUCAGCAGUUUUCCUAGUAAUUUCCUACUACUCGGUAUCUUUAUUCGGAUAAGGGACGAAGCACAUAAUGGCAAUUUUUUUUGCUAUAUUUUUUCCCCGACGUUGUUGUUGUUGUUUUUUGGAGGGAAUCAGCAACUCCCCCGUCAUGUUUUAAUAGUCUGUCCCUCAAUCAAAUUGAAUCUUCUUCUGUCAGUUAACUUUCUCGUGUUUACAUAUAUACUACAUGCCUCUUCUAUUGUCCUUCAUUAUUUUCAAUUGACCCGCUAUAAUUAUUUAGGUCUCCCGUAAAAUGCAAUUAAUUUCGAUUUCCUUUGGAAGUUAAAAUAACGUGACCUUUUUUUUUUUUACAGAUUGCGGCCUUACCUCUCCUUACAGCUGCUCUUUGUCUUGGGAGUGUGGUCUGGUGACAGACAGUCUUCGUAUAUGUUUAAAUAUUUGCGUAUGAACAGGUGGCUCAACCCGUAACCUUCUUGCAUGUGAUGAUUCUGUUUGACCACUUGAGGCGUGCCCCUAUUUGCCUUCAUAGGGACCUCACGAUUGCUUUACAGACGAAUUUACGACGGGGGAGGAUAGACUUGGCCGGAAAGCGAGCUUUUUGGGGUCGCACAGCAGCGGCCGAGCAAGCGAC